UGAUAUCAAAAAAUUUUCAAAUUGGCUCUAUAAAAAAUGGCAGAUUAACUUAAGAUUAACAAAAUGAAACAACUGCUUAAAGAUAAUGUUAGAAAAAGCCAAUCACCCAAGCACUAAAGCAAUUUUUAAUAACAAUUCUACUAUGACAUUUUCAGUCAGUAUCCAAUCAUCCUCAGUACCAUAUAUAGAAAUAGACUUACAACAUAGCAAGAACAAAUCUUCAAAUAUAAUAUUUCUGAGAACAUAUAACCACAUAAAGGCUCAUAAAGAUCUUAAGGCAUUGUUGUAUAAAGUUAAAAAGUCCUGCUCCACCUAGAAGAUAUUUCUGUGAACUAUAACUCUGCUUUAAUAACCAAUGCAUAGUAAGAACAUAGUGCACCAUCUCUGAUCUAUGAAACAUGAGAAGCCAGGCUGAUCCAACCUAUCAGAUUGCCAGCCUUUCCCCUUGCUUCAAAUGCAUAAUGUUGCUGUUGCAAUUAGAAAUAGCCAUGAAAGGCAGUGUUAAAUGCAACAAACAACUGAUCCCAAAGAAUAAUAAUGAUAACUUACUCAAAAGCAAAGUUCAAUGGCAAUAGGUUGUUCUGCUACAGAUCACUGAUACAUUGGUUUGCCCCUGACAAAGUUGACAACUGGCUGAGAACAGCAACUGCAAGAUCCUUGCUUGUAACAGCAGCUCAAUAGCACCUAGAUCUCAGAUAACUUUUGUUUCUAGUGAUGGGGAGAGCACUCAAGAUGCAUGCCUCCCUUGUUUAGAAUCAAAGGAAAUGAUUAUGGGGACACACAUUAUUACUUUUAUGAACUUCAAACAGCAAAUCUCAUUUAGUUUUUGAUUAUGACUAUUAAUGUAUAAUAUUUUCAUGCAGAAAAUGUUUUUAGGGUUCAUGUACUAUGAAGAGGUAUUCUAUCAAUGCAACAUUUAUAAUAUUAUAAUGGAAUUUGGCAUUAAUUUGCAAUUUUUAUGAUUAGCCAUUUUAACUUGUAUGCUAUUUACUUUAUAAACACACACAGAAAUCAAUUUUUUGUAUUCUUUUGAUACCAAAUAUUGCAUGACUGCUAAAAAUUAAAUCAUCAGGUGCCAC
RNAcentral lists this long non-coding RNA (1079 nucleotides) under Androctonus crassicauda. Lineage: Eukaryota; Metazoa; Arthropoda; Arachnida; Scorpiones; Buthidae. The record is from RNAcentral.